AAUAACUUCUUUCUCUCUUAAUUCUCUCUCAAUUAUGUGUGUAUGUUCUUGCUUUAAUUAAGUUCCAACACAAUGAACCCUAUCAAAAUCACUAAUUCUUCAAUCGAUUUUCCAUCUUCUUCAUCUCUAUUUUCGUGUUCCAUAUCCGAGCAUUGUGUUCUUGUUGCAGUUGAAGAAGAACACGAAUUUAGCUCUCAAGAAUAGUUCGAAUUUGCGUGCACAAGGAGGAGAAGAAGAAAUAUUUUGAAUUUGCGGAUCUGAAGGAGAAGAUUGUUAGAUCCAGGU
Molecule: long non-coding RNA, 285 nt
Filed under: Trifolium pratense (red clover)
Lineage: Eukaryota; Viridiplantae; Streptophyta; Magnoliopsida; Fabales; Fabaceae
Description: long non-coding RNA (TPRA_LNC000177)
Source: RNAcentral